Molecule: transfer RNA, 71 nt
Filed under: Eucinetus haemorrhoidalis
Lineage: Eukaryota; Metazoa; Arthropoda; Insecta; Coleoptera; Eucinetidae
Description: tRNA-Val
Source: RNAcentral
CAAAUUAAAGCUUUAUUAGUAAAGUAUUUUAUUUACAUUAAAAUGAAAUCGUGCAAUUCGAUAUAAUUUGA